Molecule: unclassified non-coding RNA, 203 nt
Filed under: Hevea brasiliensis (rubber tree)
Lineage: Eukaryota; Viridiplantae; Streptophyta; Magnoliopsida; Malpighiales; Euphorbiaceae
Source: RNAcentral
CUCCCAUAUUGUCAUUCCUGUACCCCUUUUAUAACCUAAUCUCUCCACACGCCUUCUUACACUAAUUUCCAAGUCUUCCUCUAUCAACCAUCUUCACAAAUCUUCUGUUAGUAACAGACUAUCGUUUCUUCCCCUUCCAUUCUGUUAGAGCUCAUUUUCCCUCUUCUGGAGUAGACUUUAAAUGCUCUAGGGUCUGGCUCUUU